UACGUAGGUGGCGAGCGUUAUCCGGAUUUACUGGGUGUAAAGGGCGUGUAGGCGGCUCUGCAAGUCAGAUGUGAAAUUUCCGGGCUUAACCCGGACGGGUCAUCUGAAACUGCAGGACUUGAGUACUGGAGAGGAUAGCGGAAUUCCUAGUGUAGCGGUAAAAUGCGUAGAUAUUAGGAGGAACACCGGUGGCGAAGGCGGCUAUCUGGACAGUAACUGACGCUGAGGCGCGAAAGCGUGGGGAGCAAACAGGAUUAGAUACCCGGGUAGUCCCU
RNAcentral lists this ribosomal RNA (275 nucleotides) under uncultured prokaryote. RNAcentral's name for it is "partial 16S ribosomal RNA". It matches the Rfam family "Bacterial small subunit ribosomal RNA", at positions 524 to 798 of the family's 1533-position model. The record is from RNAcentral.